CACCCAGAGGCUGAUGCUCACCAUGGGGCGCCUGCAACUGGUUGUGUUGGGCCUCACCUGCUGCUGGGCAGUGGCGAGUGCCGCGAAGACCCCAUGCUGCACUAUGUGGGCUUCGUCCCUGUCAUUGAUGGAGACUUCAUCCCCGCUGACCCGAUCAACCUGUACGCCAACGCCGCCGACAUCGACUAUAUAGCAGGCACCAACAACAUGGACGGCCACAUCUUCGCCAGCAUCGACAUGCCUGCCAUCAACAAGGGCAACAAGAAAGUCACGGAGGAGGACUUCUACAAGCUGGUCAGUGAGUUCACAAUCACCAAGGGGCUCAGAGGCGCCAAGACGACCUUUGAUGUCUACACCGAGUCCUGGGCCCAGGACCCAUCCCAGGAGAAUAAGAAGAAGACUGUGGUGGACUUUGAGACCGAUGUCCUCUUCCUGGUGCCCACCGAGAUUGCCCUAGCCCAGCACAGAGCCAAUGCCAAGAGUGCCAAGACCUACGCCUACCUGUUUUCCCAUCCCUCUCGGAUGCCCGUCUACCCCAAAUGGGUGGGGGCCGACCAUAGAGAUGAGAUCCAGUACAUCUUUGGGGAGCCCUUUGCCACCCCACUCCGGGCUACCGGCCCCAAGACAGGACAGUCUCUAAGGCUAUGACCGCCUACUGGACCAACUUUGCCAAAACAGGGGACCCCAACAUGGGCCACUCGGCUGUGCCCACACACUGGGAACCCUACACUACGGAAAACAGCGGCUACCUGGAGAUCACCAAGAAGAUGGGCAGCAGCUCCAUGAAGCGGAGCCUGAGAACCAACUUCCUGCGCUACUGGACCCUCACCUAUCUGGCGCUGCCCACAGUGACCGACCAGGAGGCCAGUUCCAUGCCCUCCACAGGGGACUCUGAGGCCACUCCCGUCUCCCCCGACAGGCAACUCCGAGUCUGCCCCCGUCCCUGCAACGGGUGACUCUCAGGAUGCCCCUGUGCCCCUCACAA
Homo sapiens (human) is the source of this 985-nucleotide RNA transcript. It is a transcript of the gene named carboxyl ester lipase pseudogene, with no coding region annotated. NCBI's taxonomy places the organism in Eukaryota, Metazoa, Chordata, Mammalia, Primates, Hominidae. The record is from RefSeq and is marked validated.